AUACGUAGGUGGCAAGCGUUGUCCGGAAUUAUUGGGCGUAAAGCGCGCGCAGGCGGCGCCUUAAGUCUGGUGUGAAAUCUUGCGGCUUAACCGCAAGCGUGCAUUGGAAACUGGGGCGCUUGAGUGCAGAAGAGGAGAGCAGAAUUCCACGUGUAGCGGUGAAAUGCGUAGAGAUGUGGAGGAAUACCGGUGGCGAAGGCGGCUCUCUGGUCUGUCACUGACGCUGAGGUGCGAAAGCGUGGGGAGCGAACAGGAUUAGAUACCCUGGUAGUCCACGCCGUAAACGAUGAAUGCCAGGUGUUAGGGGGGUCCACCCCUUAGUGCUGAAGUUAACACAUUAAGCAUUCCGCCUGGGGAGUACGACCGCAAGGUUGAA
This 376-nucleotide ribosomal RNA is filed under the name uncultured bacterium. RNAcentral describes it as "bacterial SSU rRNA". It matches the Rfam family "Bacterial small subunit ribosomal RNA", at positions 523 to 898 of the family's 1533-position model. The record is from RNAcentral.